Pelodiscus sinensis (Chinese soft-shelled turtle) is the source of this 2212-nucleotide non-coding RNA. NCBI's taxonomy places the organism in Eukaryota, Metazoa, Chordata, Testudines, Trionychidae. The record is from RefSeq and is a predicted model, not a curated record.
GAGUAUAUAUACUUGUCUUAUACUGCUUGUAUUUUGAAGAUCUGUCUAAGGAAGGGGGGCCACCCCCCACCCAGUCCGACCGCAGUCUUCCCUUGUAAUUGCUGGAAAUAAACUGCCUCUGACUUGUUGCUUACAAACGCAGAGUGAGGACUCGUUUUAUUCCACAAUUUGGUACCGUGACUUGGAUGGUAAUGCCCGGCUGAGACAGCAGAAUUACUAUGGAUCGUCCCCCUUCGAGCCCCAAGGUGCAAAACAAGAGUUUGGCUGGAGCUUUCCUGAGCUAUUUCACCUUGGGUUCAAGAGUUAAAAGUUCUGGAAAAGAAAAAAAAAUCUAGGAGAAACAAAUCAGAUAUUACCCUACAGAAUAUCAAAGGGCCAUAGCACUAUCAACAACACACCCUCUGGGAGAAGUCUGAAUCCCGUUGUGACAAUCCGUAUCCUUAUGGUCACCCCAUUUUUACAAGCCUCAUUAGAAAAGUUUCUGAGAAUGCAUUUUGGAUGAGUUUAUUCUUUGGUCAAGCUGUUCCUUCACACUGAAUAUAGUUCUCCAGACACUGAAUUCAAAGGUGCAGCAGUACAUAGCAUGUAUAGUCAUCCAACGAGGAUGCCCAAAGAGUGUAACCAUGACAAGGGUGGAAAAACAUUCAGUGCAGAUACUUCACAUUAUGGGGGAUGGGAGGAGCAACUAUAGUCAGUGGGGACUGUCAGCGCUUGACUGUUGUCAGUUCCAGAAGCAAAUUCCUCCUUCACAGAAUCCCAGAGCCCAGGCUUCAGCCCAAGCUGGAAUGUCUGAAAACAACCCUCGAGCCUGACUCAUGAGCCAGAGGCAGCCGACAUAGCCAGCUGUAGGGGUUUAAUUGCGCUGUAGACACAGCCCCAAGGCAUUUUUAAAGAGAAAACCUCCCUCGUAACUUGUAGCCGAGUGAUCAGGGCACUCAAAUGGGAGAGUCCUGGUUUAAGAUGAGGAGUUAUCAGACAGGGUGACUGGUCUGUGGGUCUCCCAUUUCCUGGGUAAGUGCUCUCUCCAUCCGGCUACAGUGUUAGCCUUACGUCUGGGCACUCCCUUAUUCUGGCCCAAUGACUUUCAGUAUUUAUCCACAGUGCAAUAGCUCCAACAGGAAAGUCUGGGAGAGCUCUGCAUCAGAAUGGCCCAUUGCCCAGCAGUUCAUGCGUUCACCUGAGGGGUGGCAGAGCCCACUCCACCUAAAGAGAAGGGAUUUGAAGAGGGAACUUGAACUGGGGGUCUCCCACUCCCAGGGAAGUACUCUAAAAACUGGGCUAAGUGUUAUCAAGAAGGUCCCCGCCCACAGUGCGCAGAUGUUUUGUGUGAACUCAUAUACAGGGCAUGCUCCAGAAACAGUCACUGGCUCAGGUCUUGAAUGCAGGUUAGGCAGGAAAGGUCUAUCUUCCUUCUCCAGUUUGUGAUUCACUCUGGGACUUAGAUGAAAGACAGGGACAUGGAUACCUAACGAGAGGCAGCAGCACACAGGCCAGGAGGCAGAAACAGAAGUGCCAAUGCCACGUUUUUUACUGCUGAAAACUAGUUGUCAAGGGAGUUUAGGCUUCUACGCAGUUCAACAGGAGUUUUAUGAAUUUUACUAGAGCAUUGAACUAGGAGCUAGGGGGCUAAGUGGAUUUAAGUGCCUAUGUACCUUUCAUAAUGUUGGCCUAAGUGAACAGAUGAGAUAAAAAUGAAAUAUAUUUAAUGAUUUUUGCCUUUAGUAUUUGUAGGUAUUUCCUCAAGAUUUGAUCCCAUAUGUAUGUAAGAAUGUAUAACGCAAGACAAGCUUGAUGUAGACUUGCUUACCAUUGAUUCUGUAUUGGAGACACAAGAUUGUGGGCCAAAUUCAAACCCCUGCUCAUGCAGGGAAAUACAAUUUGAAUCUUCAUGUGCCAGUGCAAGGAGUUUGGGGGUAAGAGAUUGCAGAUUUUGGAGGCUGCAUUCAUUGCCAGCCCUACAGAUAUUGGGGAUCCAGAGCAGUGUGACCCCCAUUCAGUUCAGAGGCAGGCAUGUUCCUAUAGGGAUGGCUCUGAGCUUUGCUGGUGGUGCCACAGCUGACUGGGUGCCCCCACAGUUGAUCAGAGCCAGAUGCAAAGAGAAGGCAGCCAUGUACUCUAGCGGCAGCCUGGAGGUUUUAUGCCAUGUAUGGAUGCACACAAGUCAGUGGCGGAUAUAGAGCAGGGCGAGCGGGUCGGCUGCCCCGGGCCCCGC